CUAUAGCACUAUCUGACCUUGAAGGUUAAGUUAGUGUACCAUGAACUCCAUCCCACAUAUUUUGGAUGCUGUGGCAUCAGUUAUCUAGCUACAUUCUAUUACCGGUUGACACCAUUUUGGAAAACUUUUAUUCCGGUUACUGCUUGUUAAAUUCCGUUAGGUUCUUUGUCAAAUACUAACUGAUUUUAAUCCAUAUUCUUUUGGGGUGUAACUUUGGUUGUUCUUUCCUUCGAGCUAAGAUAGACCCUAUCAAAAACGAGUUCCAGAAGCAUCUUCCAUUCAUCUCGACCUAGACUGAUCUUUGUUGCGAGUUAAGAUAGACCCUAUCACAAACUAGUUCUAGAAGCAUCUUCCAUUCAUCUCGACGUAGACUGAUCUUUGUUCUGA
This 387-nucleotide long non-coding RNA is filed under the name Nicotiana benthamiana. Its description in RNAcentral is "long non-coding RNA (NBEN_LNC024901)". Lineage: Eukaryota; Viridiplantae; Streptophyta; Magnoliopsida; Solanales; Solanaceae. The record is from RNAcentral.